CGUUUGCUCAAAUUUUAGUUAAAAAAUAUUGCUAAAUUGAUUGCUAAGUUUCUAGCUGGUCAAAUUUGAGCAAAAUUUUGCUAAAUUCCGGCCUCGAAAGUUUUGUGUGUACACUGUAAAUUUUUGCCUCGAUUUCCAGCAAAAAAAAUUGCUGGAAACGUUCAGCAAUCCAAAUUUUUGCCGGAAACCAGCAAUCUGUUUUCGAAUUGCUGGAUUUUUCAGCAUUCGGUUGUGUUCUUGUCAUUUUUGCUGAAAAAUCAGCAAUCGGUUUUCAAAUUGCUGGACUUUCCAGCAAUUGAUCUAGUUUGCUGGAAAUUCAGCAAUCGAAUUGUCAAAUUGGAGUGAUUAUUUCCGUACGCUGAAACAAGGUGAGACUUUAUUUCACGAACUUUGAUAAAAUUAAUACAAUUAUUCUUAUUUUCUUCUAUUUUCUAGCAACCAGACAUCAAGGCAAGGGUGAGUAUUUAAAAGAUAGGUAGAUAUUUCACGAAAAAUACUAAUCAAAACUCUAUUUCAGGUGGCGUAUGAUUAACACCCCGGUGUUUGUAUAUUAGAAUAACAUGUGAUUUCGGGAAUAAAUACAUAAAUGAAAAAUGGAAGAAAAUAAUUGUUAUUUAUUUCUUGUCAUACCACAGCCAGUAUCCCAAUAUUUAAUUUCGAAUUGAAAUAUAAAUUUGAUACCAAAUACAGCCGAAUGUUCUGAAAGAAAUAGCUGGUUUCCAGCAAUCUGGAUUGCUGAUUUUCCAGCAAUUUGAAUUGCUGGAAACCAGCAUUAACGUUUGCUGUUUUUUCCAGCAAUUUAAAUUGCUGGAAAUUUUGCUGGAAAGUCAGCGGGACAAAAACCAGCAAAAUUUUACUGGUUUCCAGCAAAAAAAAAUUUGCUGUGUAUAGUAAUAAAAGUUAACUAACCUCCGGUUUAUCCUCGGCAUCCUGUUUUUCAAUCUCUUUGGAAAUCUUGUCCCAGUCAUGAGGUUUUUUCUUGACUGCCGGAUCCGUAGUGGCCACGGCUUGUGCUUUUUUCUCUAGCGCUUCCCACCGAUUGCCGAUCAAUUUGGCCAGCUUGAUCUCCACCUUGCUAGGGGAAGCUUUGUGCGAGCUCUGAUCCACAUUGAUAUCGUUCCAAAGGUUCAGCACUAUCGGAUCGAUUCCAUCUGCCGUCAGCCGUACUGUGCUCUGUUCGAGGGUUACGGAAUAGUUCUUGUCGGCAGCGUUUUUAAGUAAAACCGUAAUAGUUACGGCCGUGUCCGAUUGAUACCAAUCGUACUUUACCGAAGCCAUUCUUUGUGACUUCUGUCGCAGGAUCAAAUCUUUGUUUUCCGGAACAAUGAAAAUAGUUACCACUGUUGAAGAUCCUGAAAUGUUAGGUCGAUUGCAGAUUCUAGAAAUUUGUGGAAACGAGUGCAAUACCCAGUAGGAAAUCUUCUUCUUCUUCUUCUUCGUUUUAAUGUUUUGGCCAGAGAACGUUACUCUACAGUAGGAAAUCCUGCUGGCUCAGCGAGUAGAACAUGUUACGAACCGUUAUUCUUUUUCUUUUCGUCAGUUAACGACUUGAUUGGGAAUGAACCCAAUGAACUCAAUAGCAAUUAUAAUCUCAAAUUUGAGUAGUCCACACUAGGCUAGGAGACGGUUCGGAGACGGUUCGUCUCGAGACGGUCUCAGCGUCUCCCAUUUUCUUCGGGAGACACUGAGACCGUCUCAGGUUUCCAACAACAACAACAGACAACAAAGUUCGUUUCAUAACAAAAAUCGCAGUUCAUGUUGCCUAGUGUGGACUAGGCUUAACAGAGACUCGGAAAGAGAUUUGUUGAUAACAUCAAAGGUGCUAUCACGGCUUCACGAAACCCUGGCGACAAAACGCGGCAGCACCAUAAACAUUGUGUAGGCGUGACCAAAGAUUUGUUCGUAAAGACAACAGCCCGACUAUCUUGAUACUUAACACUUAAAGCAUAUUUGUUUUCAUCUGGUGAUCAACCAGUUCUGAAAGUUAGUCAUUUUGUCUGCACUUGCGUUGUAAAAUUUUCAGUUUUCGGCCUUGUAUACAGCAACAUGAUUUAUAAAGUUGUAGCUUUAAAUUUGUUACAAAGAGUAAAAAACUACGCUAGAAAUUGAAUAAUGUUUAAUAUUAAUUGUUAGGAGUAAGUGAGCCUGUCAGUUGUUGUUGUUCAUCAUUAUGUUCCAACCGUGAUUUUCCAAAAGUGGAAAGUGUUUCAGAGUGGAUAAAUAUAAAUAUGAACUGUAAAUUUAAAUAGCUGUUCAAUUGCUAGCUUGAUUAACCUACCUAACCUAAGGGUCCAGCGCCGAUUGACCGGCGCAUAGGGCUGAGAUAAAAGAUCUCCACUGCUGGCGAUCCGGAGCCAGCGUCUUCACUUGCUGCCAGCCGAGGUUCUCGUCAACUGUGCGGAUUUCAGCGGCUAGACUUCGCCGCCACGAGCUUUUGGGCCUGCCUCUUCUUCGAUGCCCAACUGGAUUCCAGUCAAGCGCCUCUCUGCAAAUCUCGUUUUCAUCUCUUCGCAGCGUGUGCCCAAUCCAUCUCCACUUACGUUCCCGAAUCUCGAUUUCUAGCGCCUUUUGAUGACACCGGCGAUGAAGUUCAACGUUUGAGAUCCAGUUGCCAGGCCACCAAGCGCGGAUGAUGUUCCGCAGGCAGCGAUUCACAAAAACUUGCAGUUUUCGCGUCGUCACCGCAUAUGUGCACCAAGUUUCACACCCGUACAGCAAUACGGAUUUGACGUUUGAGUUGAAGAUUCGGAUUUUUGUUCGUAGAGAGAUCUGGCGUGACCGCCAGAUGUUUCGGAGACUCGCAAACGCAAAUCGGGCUUUUCUGAUCCGGGUCUCGAUGUCCUUCUUGGUCCCACCAUCAGGCGUAAUCUGGCUACCAAGAUACUGGAAGCACUCCACUGUCUCAACCUGUUGUCCAGCUACCACGAAAUUGGAACGAUUUUCUGUAUUGAUUUCCAUCGACUUGGUCUUUCCGACAUUGAUUUUGAGACCUGCUGCCUUGGAGCUUUCGGUGAGGUCGUCGAGUUUGCUCUGCAUGUCUUGUUGUGUUUGGGCGAGCAAAACAAUAUCGUCUGCCAGGUCAAGGUCGUUCAGUUGCUCCAUGGUUGAAGGAUUCCACGGCAAUCCUCGGUUUGGUCUACAGUCAAUCGAUCCAGUCAAGAUCUCAUCCAUUACGAUGAGAAAAAGCAGCGGUGACAAAAUACAUCCUUGUCUCACUCCAGCAGUUACCGGGAUUGGUUCGGACAAGACACCGUCGUGCAAGACCUUGCACGAAAAUGCCUCGUACUGUGCUUCGAUGAGAUGGACUAGUUUCUCUGGGACCCCUCGUCGUCUAAGAGCAGCCCAGAUGUUUUCGUGGUUCAGUCGGUCAAAUGCUUUUUCGAAAUCAACGAACACCAGCAGAAGAGAGUCCUGGAAUUCGUUGAUUUGUUCCAGUAUUAUUCGUAGCGUUGUGAUGUGGUCCACACAUGAUCGUCCGGAUCGGAAUCCAGCUUGUUGCCGUCGGAGUGUAGCGUCGAUUUUCUCCUGGAUCCUGUUCAGGAUCACUUUGCAGAGUACUUUGAGGGUUGUACAGAUCAAAGUUAUGCCACGCCAGUUACCGCACUCUGUUAGGUCUCCUUUCUUUGGGACCUUUACGAGGAUACCCUGCAUCCAGUCGGCCGGGAAUGUAGCAGUAUCCCAAAUGUCAGCGAAUAGACGGUGCAACAUUUGUGCUGACAAGGCAGGGUCGGCUUUGAGCAUUUCAGCAGGAAUGCAAUCGAUUCCAGGCGCAUUGUUGGAUUUCAUGUCCUUGAUUGCCGCUUCUAUUUCAGCCAGCGAGGGCGCUUCCGAGUUGACGCCAUUAAUGCGACUUACUGUGGGCGCCUCGAGCUGCGGGUUCUGUUGGCCAUUGCUAUUUGUAACUCGAAAAAGUUGAUCAAAAUGCUCAGUCCAACGCUUGAGCUGAUCUGUUCGAUCUGUCAGCAGCUGACCUGCUCGGUUUUUCAGCGGCAUUCUUGCAUUAGUCCUUGCACCACUAAGGCGGCGAAAAAUAUCAUAUAAUAAUCGGAUAUCUCCAAUGGCGGCGGCUCUUUCUCCCUCUUCGGCUAGGGAGUUUGUCCAGGCUCUCUUGUCUCGUCUACAAGCUCGUUUAACUGCCUUUUCCAGCUCCGCAUAUCGUAAGCGGGCGGCUGCUUUGGCUGACCCGGUACAUGCCUGCUCAAUUCCGACUUUCGCCUUUCUCCGAUCAUCGAUCAUCCUCCAGGUUUCAUCCGACAUCCAUUCACUUCGUCUUCCACAAACUUUACCGAGAGUACCAUGGCUCGUCGUGAUAAAGGCAUUCUUGAUUCCACACCACUGUUCUUCGACUGUUCCGUCUGUCGGCAAUUCCGAGGCUCGGGAUUCUAGCUGUUCAACGUAUGCCCUUUUCACCUCUGGAUUCUCCAACCGGCGGACGUCGUAUCGACACCCGACUUUCUCCUCGCGCCGUUGGACACGCGCAACUCUCAGUCGUAUCUCGCCAAGGACGAGGUGAUGGUCAGAUGCAAUGUCUGCGCUUCGUUUGUUGCGGACAUCAAGAAGGCUCCUUCUCCAUUUUCGGCUGAUGCAGAUGUGGUCAAUUUGAUUUUCUGUUCGGCCAUCUCGGGAUACCCAAGUGACCUUAUGUGCUGGUCGAUGGGGGAAGAGCGAUCCACCGAUAACCAUGUUGUUGUUGCCACAAAAUUCUACAAACAGCUCUCCGUUUUCGCUCAUCUGUCCUAGGCCAUGGCGCCCCAUGAUGCGCUCAAAGUCCUGAUUAUCGGAGCCAAUCUUUGCGUUGAAGUCGCCUAAGUGGAUUUGAAUGUCACCCUUCGGAAUUCUCUCAACCACGCUGUUCAAUUGACUGUAAAACUGCUCUUUCUCCUGCAAAUCGGCAACGUCAGUUGGCGCAUAACACUGGACCAUUGUAAGGUUUCUAACCCGUGUUCUGAAUCUGGCUACGAUUAUUCUUUCGUUUAUCGGUUCCCAUCUUAUGAGGGCCGCAUGGGCCUGCGGGCUUAACAGGAAACCAACUCCUCGUUCCCGAGUAGCAUGUUCUCCUCGUAUGCCAGAGUAAAGCAGUACUUGCCCGGACUGUGUCUUGUGUUCUCCAGUGUUAAGCCAACGGACUUCGCUCAGUCCCAAUAUCUCUAGCUUGAGGCGGCUAGCUUCUCUAGCAAGUUGAGCCAGCUUUCCUGGCUGGGCAAGGGUCAAGACAUUCCAAGUUCCAAUUCUAGUCCGUGUUUUCAUGCUAAAAGUCGUUGCCAAAGUUCCAAUUCGGUUAUUUCUUCUCUCAGUUUCUGUAACAAUAAAUGAUUUCAGGAGCAGUAGGUUGUUAGCCUAAAGUCCCUAUCCCGCGAUGGGGCUGCCAUCUUGUACUUAGCUGGCGGGAGCCGCAUUUCAUAAAUUCAGCCGCUUGCUGCAAGACAGACGCUGUUUGAGCCGCCCCUGACCUGGAGAACAGACGCUCGGUUGUUGUUGCACGCCGCCCCUGACCUGGGGAACAGACGCGUGCGGCCACCUUCUCAGUCUGCAUGCGACCAAAGCAUCCACCGGGGUUGGGUACCCGAUCUCCGCUUAGGUUACUCGCACCCCAGCCGGCACCGCGGGGAGGUAGAGAUAGGAGUUGUGAAUAAGAGGUGAUAUGACCACUAUGGGGUCUCGUGUUGCACAUUAUCCACCGUUUACCAGCCAGCUAGCUUGAUUGGAUGUCUCAAAAUCAGCAUUAAACCAACUCAUAAGCGAGUAACAACAUUUCAGUGUGUCACGCGACGUAACGCUUUCAAUUCUCUCACGCACACACAUUAAAGUAUGUUUCUUUUCUUUAUGUUUACAUUUUGGUUCCUCCUUCACGUAAUAUCGUUCAUUCAUCAGUUACGAUCGGUGUAGAAAUGGAGCUGAUCUUGGUGCUUUAAAAGUUUUGCAAAGAGAAAGUAACUAAUUUGAGUGCUUUAGCAGUGGAGAAGACUUCUCCCAAUAAAUUUCGGCGUUGAGUUUAAUUUUCGAAGUUGGCUGCAGAAAAACAUUGUGAAGAUUCAGAUGAAAAAUUCGAAACAUCAAUGAGUUUUCAAACACGGGUUUAUGUUUCAGUUUAGUUAUUGAGCCUAGUCAUUCUUCAAAUUAGCAGUAUCGAAAGCCGUCUGACUUAAAAACUUAGACCAUCUCGAGGGUUUCCCCGAUUCUUUCCAUGGAUGAGAUGUAAUAUGAGCAAGAGUCAGCUGCUGAAAACGAAAUUGCACAGUAAGGAUUUUCAGUUGUGUUAUCGUCAUCGAACAAAGAAGAGAAGGAAAUGAUACAUUGGUGGAGCUAAAGUAACUGGAUAAAUUGAAAAGAAGUCAAUAUUUUUAUGAGAAGCCACCUGUUGAGACAGCUAAGCUAAGUCAUGUACGCAUGCUUUGCUGUGUGGGGUAGAAACGCGACCAGGAAGCAAUAAUAUUAAUAGAUACACAGAGACUGGCCAAAAACUUAGUAAAGUUAAGCUUGUAUUAAUAAAAAUAAAAUUAGAAAAGCUUUAUAGGAAAAAAGCAAGUGACGGUGAAUAGUUCUGGAAGAAAAUGAAGGCAAUCGAGGCAAAAAUUGUCGUUUUGGGAUCACAAGUUUCUGUAACAAUAAAUGAUUUCAGGAGCAGUAGGUUGUUAGCCUAAAGUCCCUAUCCCGCGAUGGGGCUGCCAUCUUGUACUUAGCUGGCGGGAGCCGCAUUUCAUAAAUUCAGCCGCUUGCUGCAAGACAGACGCUGUUUGAGCCGCCCCUGACCUGGAGAACAGACGCUCGGUUGUUGUUGCACGCCGCCCCUGACCUGGGGAACAGACGCGUGCGGCCACCUUCUCAGUCUGCAUGCGACCAAAGCAUCCACCGGGGUUGGGUACCCGAUCUCCGCUUAGGUUACUCGCACCCCAGCCGGCACCGCGGGGAGGUAGAGAUAGGAGUUGUGAAUA
Molecule: RNA transcript, 6932 nt
Organism: Uranotaenia lowii
Lineage: Eukaryota; Metazoa; Arthropoda; Insecta; Diptera; Culicidae
Gene: RabX1
Exons: 2
Source: RefSeq, a predicted model, not a curated record